AUUUUUAAAUUUUUUGCAUAUCCAAUAAGCGGAGGAAAAGAAACCAACAGGGAUUGCCCUAGUAACGGCGAGUGAAGCGGCAACAGCUCAAAUUUGAAAGCUGGCCUUCGGGUCCGCAUUGUAAUUUGUAGAGGAUGCUUUGGGUGAAACGCCAGUCUAAGUUCCUUGGAACAGGACGUCAUAGAGGGUGAGAAUCCCGUAUGUGACUGGAAAUGUUAACCUAUGUAAAGCUCCUUCGACGAGUCGAGUUGUUUGGGAAUGCAGCUCUAAAUGGGAGGUAAAUUUCUUCUAAAGCUAAAUAUUGGCGAGAGACCGAUAGCGCACAAGUAGAGUGAUCGAAAGAUGAAAAGCACUUUGGAAAGAGAGUUAAAAAGCACGUGAAAUUGUUGAAAGGGAAGCGCUUGCAAUCAGACUUGUUUAAACUGUUCGGCCGGUCUUCUGACCGGUUUACUCAGUUUGGACAGGCCAGCAUCAGUUUCGGCGGCCGGAUAAAGGCUCUGGGAAUGUGGCCUUCACUUCGGUGAAGGUGUUAUAGCCCAGGGUGUAAUACGGCCAGCCGGGACUGAGGUCCGCGCUCGGCUAGGAUGCUGCGUAAGACAGAGG
Molecule: ribosomal RNA, 603 nt
Filed under: Aureobasidium sp. D2-5
Lineage: Eukaryota; Fungi; Ascomycota; Dothideomycetes; Dothideales; Saccotheciaceae
Description: eukaryotic LSU rRNA
Rfam family: Eukaryotic large subunit ribosomal RNA
Source: RNAcentral